Molecule: ribosomal RNA, 279 nt
Filed under: uncultured bacterium
Lineage: Bacteria
Description: partial 16S ribosomal RNA
Rfam family: Bacterial small subunit ribosomal RNA
Source: RNAcentral
UGCCAGCAGCCGCGGUAAGACAGAGGGGGCAAGCGUUGUCCGGACUGACUGGGCGUAAAGCGCACGCAGGCGGCCUCGGGCGUCGGUGCUGAAAGCCCACCGCUUAACGGUGGGUCGCGUGCCGAUACGCCGAGGCUGGAGGGCGGGCGAGGGUGGUGGAAUUGCCGGUGUAGUGGUGAAAUGCGUAGAGAUCGGCAGGAACACCCGUGGCGAAGGCGGCCACCUAGCCCGCACCUGACGCUGAGGCGCGACAGCGUGGGGAGCGAACUGGAUUAGAUA